RNAcentral lists this ribosomal RNA (510 nucleotides) under uncultured bacterium. RNAcentral describes it as "partial 16S ribosomal RNA". It matches the Rfam family "Bacterial small subunit ribosomal RNA", at positions 28 to 507 of the family's 1533-position model. The record is from RNAcentral.
GACGAACGCUGGCGGCGUGCUUAACACAUGCAAGUCGAACGAAGAGCGAUGGAAGCUUGCUUCUAUCAAUCUUAGUGGCGAACGGGUGAGUAACGCGUAAUCAACCUGCCCUUCAGAGGGGGACAACAGUUGGAAACGACUGCUAAUACCGCAUACGAUCUAAACUCGGCAUCGAGGAUAGAUGAAAGGUGGCCUCUACAUGUAAGCUAUCACUGAAGGAGGGGAUUGCGUCUGAUUAGCUAGUUGGAGGGGUAACGGCCCACCAAGGCGAUGAUCAGUAGCCGGUCUGAGAGGAUGAACGGCCACAUUGGGACUGAGACACGGCCCAGACUCCUACGGGAGGCAGCAGUGGGGAAUCUUCCGCAAUGGACGAAAGUCUGACGGAGCAACGCCGCGUGAGUGAUGACGGCCUUCGGGUUGUAAAGCUCUGUUAAUCGGGACGAAAGGCCUUCUUGCGGAUAGUGAGAAGGAUUGACGGUACCGGAAUAGAAAGCCACGGCUAACUACGUG